Long non-coding RNA from Macrobrachium nipponense, 417 nucleotides. RefSeq lists it as uncharacterized. NCBI's taxonomy places the organism in Eukaryota, Metazoa, Arthropoda, Malacostraca, Decapoda, Palaemonidae. The transcript has 3 exons. The record is from RefSeq and is a predicted model, not a curated record.
ACCGGGUCAAUUUAAGGAUACUGGUUCAUCGUGCAACGUCGUUGGUGGUUUAUCAUUAUAUCUUAGAGUGUGCAAGUAGUACUAAACGUCUGGUUUGACUAAGCAUGUACGCAAGAGUUCGUUAAAAUGGUCGCCUCGCUUUUGAGGUUUCUGGAGUUUUUUUUUUUUUUUAAUAAACUAUCAAAUGGAAACUUCACUCCUGGAGUUCUCUCCUGAUCGAGCUGACAGAUUUCCAAGCCUUUAAUGUACUGUAAUGUAUUUUUCCUUCAGUACAAACAGGUUUUUUUUGGCAGAACUGAAAUGAAUUACACAGCGAAUUAGUGUCAAGAAGUGUUCGGUUAUAUCUCCAGCGUAGGUGGAUGAAGUUCUUCGGUGUGAAAUAUUGUAAAUAACUACUCUCCACUGUAAUGAUUAUAC